UACGUAGGGGGCAAGCGUUAUCCGGAAUCAUUGGGCGUAAAGGGUGCGUAGGCGGCCCUAUAGGUCAGAGGUCAAAGGCUACGGCUCAACCGUAGUAAGCCUUUGAAACUGUAGGGCUUGAGUGCAGGAGAGGAGAGUGGAAUUCCUAGUGUAGCGGUGAAAUGCGUAGAUAUUAGGAGGAACACCAGUGGCGAAGGCGACUCUCUGGACUGCAACUGACGCUGAGGCACGAAAGCGUGGGGAGCGAAUAGGAUUAGAUACCCUGGUAGUCCACGCCGUAAACGAUGAGUGCUAGGUGUCGGGGGUCGAACCUCGGUGCCGCAGUUAACGCAUUAAGCACUCCGCCUGGGGAGUACGUUCGCAAGAAUGAA
RNAcentral lists this ribosomal RNA (371 nucleotides) under uncultured bacterium. RNAcentral's name for it is "bacterial SSU rRNA". It matches the Rfam family "Bacterial small subunit ribosomal RNA", at positions 524 to 898 of the family's 1533-position model. The record is from RNAcentral.